UACAGGGGGUGCAAACGUUGCUCGGAAUCAUUGGGCGUAAAGCGCACGUAGGCGGUUCGUUAUGUCGGAUGUGAAAGCCCUUGGCUUAACCGAGGAAGUGCAUCCGAAACUGGCGAGCUAGAGUACGAAAGAGGAUCGCGGAAUUCCCGGUGUAGAGGUGAAAUUCGUAGAUAUCAGGAGGAACACCGGUGGCGAAGGCGGCGACCUGGGUAGAUACUGACGCUGAGGCGCGAAAGCGUGGGGAGCAAACAGG
This 253-nucleotide ribosomal RNA is filed under the name uncultured bacterium. Its description in RNAcentral is "partial 16S ribosomal RNA". It matches the Rfam family "Bacterial small subunit ribosomal RNA", at positions 524 to 776 of the family's 1533-position model. The record is from RNAcentral.